UCUACUUCCAGGAGAAGCAGAAAGAUUCAGAAUUAAGCUGCCACCAUGCUCUCCCACAAUCAUAAUUAAUAUAAUCAUUUUUGUCAUAGUGAAGGUUUGAAGGAUCGUCUCACAUAAGUCAGGUAAAUAAAGAAUGGACUUUUCACAUGGAAAGAUGAGCUUCUCUAAAAGAUGGAUCCUGAGCAAAGUAUAUUCCCCGCUGGUACUAGCACCUGAUGCUUUUUGAUACUAAAUGAGAGAAAACCAAGAAAAAAUGUUCAUUGUGCAUUAAGUCAUCUCGUAAGUCUUUCAAGAACACAAUUUGAGAAAUGUUGAUUUCCACAUUGCUAUACCCUCUGGUACACUGAUAUGUAUUAACUGAAGCCGACUGUGAAACAGUCAUUCUAGAGAAAGUGAAGAAACAGACGUUGUCUCUAAAGGUUUGUCCUUACACUGUAGAGAAGCUUUGGAAAUCAAGCUGAUGAUACG
Vicugna pacos (alpaca) is the source of this 468-nucleotide non-coding RNA. The record is from RefSeq and is a predicted model, not a curated record. NCBI's taxonomy places the organism in Eukaryota, Metazoa, Chordata, Mammalia, Artiodactyla, Camelidae.